CUCUUAUCUUCACUAAUCAGAAGCUUAAAAAAAAAAAAAAAUGCAGGGAGCAGGUGGCCAAAGCCAUCCCCUCCAAUCCAUCAGACUAGCAAAAACAUGGGUUAACAGAGUCGUGGGCAGAAACGCUACUUUGUUUUUAAACAAGAGGAGCUGGCCUUUUAACACAGGGCGGGCUGAGGGAGCAGUGGCGCCAAGCAAGACCGGUGUGUGUUCACAGGUCUCGCCCUCAGCGUAACGAGAACCAACCAGUCCCCCUGGCAGAGAAAUGUAAGGCCAGUGACCGACGUGGACCGGAGAACGAGCUGAGGCCUGAGAAACGGAAGCUUCAUACCUCAAGAUUUACCCUCCAACCUCCCGGGACUCAACACCGAUUCCGCGCCCUAGAGGCGGGGCACGGUAGAAAUCGAGAGCGCGGCCCAAAGUUGGGCCUAGGCGAAAAUCCGCAUUCGCCAAACCCAGCUGUGCCCUGAAUCGACACAGGCACCAAAAACCCAGACGCCGGGACCAAUGGGGUCGGCAGUGCGGUAGGGCUGGAUGGGGACACCGCACAAAGGCAGAAACCGCACUGAAGGGAGGGGAAAGCAGAGGGGACUGUUUCAACCUGCACCCAGCACCUUCAUUCAUCCCCAGCGUCUGGCUCCCGUCGGCCACCGUACUGGACUGAGAGGAAGGCUGUCUGCAAAGGAAACCCAGAGACGUCCGCGCUGAUGCAACGGUGCGCGUGCGCGGUCCCACCUCUUCCUUCCCGUCCCCUUAACUGCAUUCCCGAAGAUUUAAAAUGCUGCUUUCGGUUUCUGCUUCCAAAAUCUAUCACUUUUAUCCUUUCCGAUUAAAUCUUUAAGCCCCUCUGACCUGAGUUUCAUCUUCACAGGAUUUUUGUGGCACUUGAAUGACAUAACGAGGAAUAUGAAGAGAAUUCAUGGUUUGGGGGAUCAAUAAUGGGAGAAAGGGGAUGUGAACUAAGUGAUUUUUAAGAUCUCUUCCAACUUUAGGUGUGCCUGGGUGGCUCAGUCAGAAAAGGCUCACCACCCCACAGCUGCCACCUGAGUAUGCACUGGGAAAAUCACAGAAGACUUCAAGUCAUCAGUGUUAACUACCUCCUUCCUUCCUUGAAUCUCCUAGCAGACAUGUAUAUACCUAAAGUUUUUACAUUCUGGAACUGCCCCGUCAUCUAGAACUCAACUUCCCCCAAAUAAAACAUUUUCACAAAACUUUUAAAAAUUCAUUUGUCUUUGUUAUAACCUUUUAAAGCACUUGAGCACUACAUUUUCACUCACAAAACUUGCCAAGUUACCUCUUGAACAGCUUUACAACACACUUAAGUAGACUUAUAAUUUCGCUACUCUAAACAAUG
Molecule: long non-coding RNA, 1354 nt
Organism: Acinonyx jubatus (cheetah)
Lineage: Eukaryota; Metazoa; Chordata; Mammalia; Carnivora; Felidae
Exons: 3
Source: RefSeq, a predicted model, not a curated record